RNAcentral lists this ribosomal RNA (392 nucleotides) under uncultured bacterium. Its description in RNAcentral is "bacterial SSU rRNA". It matches the Rfam family "Bacterial small subunit ribosomal RNA", at positions 28 to 420 of the family's 1533-position model. The record is from RNAcentral.
GACGAACGCUGGCGGCGUGCUUAACACAUGCAAGUCGAGCGGUAAGGCCCUUUCGGGGUACGACGAGCGGCGAACGGGUGAGUAACACGUGGGUGACCUGCCCUCAGCUCUGGGAGUAAGCCUGGGAAACCGGGUCUAAUACUGGAUAUGACUCCAUGACGCAUGUUGUGGGGUGGAAAGCCUUGUGCGGCUGAGGAUGGGCCCGCGGCCUAUCAGCUUGUUGGUGGGGUGAUGGCCUACCAAGGCGACGACGGGUAGCCGGCCUGAGAGGGCGACCGGCCACACUGGGACUGAGACACGGCCCAGACUCCUACGGGAGGCAGCAGUGGGGAAUCUUGCGCAAUGGGCGAAAGCCUGACGCAGCGACGCCGCGUGAGGGAUGACGGCCUCGG